AACGAACGCUGGCGGCAGGCUUAACACAUGCAAGUCGAACGGGCGCGAGCAAUCGCGUCAGUGGCAGACGGGUGAGUAACACGUGGGAACCUUCCUAGGGGUACGGAACAACUCAGGGAAACUUGAGCUAAUACCGUAUACGUCCGUAAGGAGAAAGAUUCAUCGCCCCUAGACGGGCCCGCGUCGGAUUAGCUAGUUGGUGGGGUAACGGCCUACCAAGGCGACGAUCCGUAGCUGAUCUGAGAGGAUGAUCAGCCACACUGGGACUGAGACACGGCCCAGACUCCUACGGGAGGCAGCAGUGGGGAAUCUUGGACAAUGGGCGCAAGCCUGAUCCAGCCAUGCCGCGUGAGUGAAGAAGGCCUUAGGGUUGUAAAGCUCUUUUUACCAGGGACGAUAAUGACGGUACCUGGAGAAAUAAGCCCCGGCAAACUUCGUGCCAGCAGCCGCAGU
This 453-nucleotide ribosomal RNA is filed under the name uncultured bacterium. RNAcentral describes it as "bacterial SSU rRNA". It matches the Rfam family "Bacterial small subunit ribosomal RNA", at positions 29 to 521 of the family's 1533-position model. The record is from RNAcentral.